UAGAGAACAGUAGUCAAAGCUUACUUUAUUUACUCCAAUUGUCACCCUUUAUGAUGCCACAUAAGCAGAAUUCUGGUGUAGCGAGAGAGCAUGAGAGUUCAGCAAGUCUCAAAGUGAGUACAGAAGAGUAUUUGCAUCUAAAAAUGACAACAUAGAAACAAAGGGCCACCUCCCCUUCUGUUCUGCUGUUGGUGGUGAAGCCUGGAGCAAUCAGCUAAUGGCUCACAGCAUGAAGCAAGCAGCCUUAAUGUCCUCUCUUCCCUCCUCACACAUCCUAGAAGCAGUACUUCAAGAAGUGAUCAGCAUUGUGUCACAUUUCUAGUUUCACUAUUUCUGUUUUUCCAUGAGUAUUAAAUUUCAAAAAAAAGUACAUUUUCUUUUCCAAAGUUUGAAAUUAAAAGGAUUGCUUUGAGAUUAUAUUUAAUCUGAGUACACAUUUUUCUCAUACAAAGUGUCAAGUAUCAUGUAGGUCAAAGAGAAAAUAUUUGAUCAUCCAUUAGUAAUUUUUCUAGAAUGGUAGGCAUUA
RNAcentral lists this long non-coding RNA (526 nucleotides) under Homo sapiens (human). Its description in RNAcentral is "HSALNT0320975". The record is from RNAcentral. Lineage: Eukaryota; Metazoa; Chordata; Mammalia; Primates; Hominidae.